RNAcentral lists this long non-coding RNA (365 nucleotides) under Anas platyrhynchos platyrhynchos (common mallard). RNAcentral's name for it is "lncRNA (ENSAPLG00000024643.1)". The record is from RNAcentral. Lineage: Eukaryota; Metazoa; Chordata; Aves; Anseriformes; Anatidae.
UUUUAAACUGCGGCUUUGUAACAGUAAAAUAUUUUUAUGUUAGUUUGGCCUUUGAAAAUCAGCAGUGAACUUAUAUAAAUAAUUUGAAAGGUGAAGUCAUUUUAAAGCAUAUGUUUUGAUCUUUCUAGAUCUUUCCAGAAACUUGCCUUGUGCUGAGCAACUUCCUUGUCUCCUGAAUAACAUGAUACCAAGCCCAGGACAGAACAGCCAGCCAGACUACUGAAGAUUUUUCAGUGGAGAUAUUGAUGGACACAGAAGCAGUUUUGGCUGAUUAAAGUCUCUCAGCAAACACAUACCUGGUAAAAGCUGCUAUUUAAUUUGCAAUAUUAUUAAAGUUACAUGAUGUAUAGCAGAAACCAGCCUAU